Molecule: ribosomal RNA, 810 nt
Filed under: uncultured bacterium
Lineage: Bacteria
Description: bacterial SSU rRNA
Rfam family: Bacterial small subunit ribosomal RNA
Source: RNAcentral
AGAGUUUGAUCAUGGCUCAGAGCGAACGCUGCGGGGGGUCCUACCAUGCAAGUCGAACGAGGAUCGUCGGGUUAGCAAUAAUUCGGCGGUCCUAGUGGCGCACGGGUGAGUAACACGUGGGUGACCUGCCCUUGAGUUCGGGAUACCCCCCUCGAAAGGGGGGCUAAUACCGGAUACGUUCCCCGGUUGAAAGACUGGGGAGGAAAGGUGGCGCAAGCUGCCGCUCUUGGAGGGGCUCGCGGCCUAUCAGCUAGUUGGCGGGGUAACGGCCCACCAAGGCUAUGACGGGUAGCUGGUCUGAGAGGACGACCAGCCACACGGGGACUGAGACACGGCCCCGACUCCUACGGGAGGCAGCAGUGGGGAAUUUUCCGCAAUGGGCGAAAGCCUGACGGAGUGACGCCGCGUGUGGGACGAAGGCCUUCGGGUCGUAAACCACUGUCAGUGGGAAAGAUGGGUGUCGGCGCUAAUACCGCCGACAUCUGACGGUACCUGCAGAGGAAGCCCCGGCCAACUCUGUGCCAGCAGCCGCGGUAAGACAGAGGGGGCAAGCGUUGCUCGGAAUUACUGGGCGUAAAGGGCGCGUAGGCGGGAUGGCAAGUCGGUCGUGAAAUCCCUCGGCUCAACUGAGGAACGUCGAUCGAUACUGCUGUUCUUGAGGAUUGCAGAGGAGACUGGAAUUCCCGGUGUAGCGGUGAAAUGUGUAGAGAUCGGGAGGAACACCGGUGGCGAAGGCGGGUCUCUGGGCAAUUCCUGACGCUGAGGCGCGAAAGCGUGGGGAGCAAACGGGAUUAGAUACCCUAGUAGUCC